RNAcentral lists this ribosomal RNA (440 nucleotides) under uncultured bacterium. Its description in RNAcentral is "partial 16S ribosomal RNA". It matches the Rfam family "Bacterial small subunit ribosomal RNA", at positions 338 to 795 of the family's 1533-position model. The record is from RNAcentral.
CCUACGGGAGGCAGCAGUGGGGAAUAUUGCACAAUGGGGGAAACCCUGAUGCAGCGACGCCGCGUGAAGGAAGAAGUAUUUCGGUAUGUAAACCUCUAUCAGCAGGGAAGAAAAGGACGGUACCUGACUAAGAAGCCCCGGCCAACUACGUGCCAGCAGCCGCGGUAAUACGUAGGGGGCAAGCGUUAUCCGGAUUUACUGGGUGUAAAGGGAGCGUAGGCGGUUUAGCAAGUCAGAAGUGAAAGCCCGGGGCUCAACCCCGGGACUGCUGUUGAAACUGUUGAACUUGAGUGCAGGAGAGGUAAGUGGAAUUCCUAGUGUAGCGGUGAAAUGCGUAGAUAUUAGGAGGAACACCAGUGGCGAAGGCGGCUUACUGGACUGUAAAUGACGCUGAGGCUCGAAAGCGUGGGGAGCAAACAGGAUUAGAUACCCUAGUAGUC